UUGUAUUAAAAACAAACAAAAGAUAACAAUAAUCAUACACGUGUCUAAAAUUGGGCUAGGAAAUGUUAGAACAUGAAUGGUGUUUGCCGAGUUGUUUUUAGGCAGGUGGUGUCUUGCACUUAUCAUAGACCUCUGUUCGCAGAUUAAUGGUUUUUGUAUGAUAAAAAAAUCCAUGGGUGAAACUAUAGGUGGGCUGCAGGAACUCCUAAAUUAAAAAAAGCAAUGCUCUCAAGCAGAUACUUUCAAGGACAUGCUGAAUUAAUCACAAGAGGCUGGUUAGCAGGAGGUCAGAGCCAGACUCCUUACUAUCAUUUUGGGUCAUAUGUCUAGAGGCGAUUACAGUAUGUAUGUGCUGUAUCGCAAUAUUCCCCUUCUAGUUUACUUCACAGUCAAAAAAGGAUGAAGGCAUAUUACAUAGGGCUCUGUUGAAAGAAAAGAAACACAAUGCUAGGACAAUACUUUACAAAUUGCUUGAGAAACAAUUUGACAAUGACUGCUAUCAACAUUUAAGAAUCUUUCUUCAAUGGCAUGUAAGAAAUCGGUUUCGGUAUUGUUCAGAAAGGUUACUGUUUAUGCGAAACAAAAAUCUACAUUUAUAGAUACAUAGCUCAGGGUUCUUAGAUGGAACACGACAAUUUGAUUAAUAAUUGUAAAAAUAUAUUUUAAGCAUAGGUCUUAUUUUAACUAAAUGCUGCUUUUUUGUUAGUAAAGUAAUCUGUGUAAACGCAGAAUUAUUAUGAUUUAGAAAAAUGUUUUUUUUUAUUGUAGUGCUAUGAAAACCCAUUAAAUAUAGUUUUGGUAAUAAA
Spea bombifrons (plains spadefoot toad) is the source of this 806-nucleotide long non-coding RNA. RefSeq lists it as uncharacterized. The record is from RefSeq and is a predicted model, not a curated record. Lineage: Eukaryota; Metazoa; Chordata; Amphibia; Anura; Pelobatidae. The transcript has 2 exons.